Paramuricea clavata is the source of this 539-nucleotide non-coding RNA. The record is from the annotation of a GenBank genome assembly. Lineage: Eukaryota; Metazoa; Cnidaria; Anthozoa; Malacalcyonacea; Plexauridae.
CCCUGUCAAUAUUGUACGCAUUUUUGCGUUCAACUUAGUGCUAGGGCAUUCAAAUUCUAACAAUACGUUAUUUCAAUAGUUUUGGUUUUUUGGGACACCCUGUAUGUAUACACGAAAAUCAUGCUCUGUGCUCAUAAGCAUUGCUCAUGAGCAUUACAGGAUUUUGGUACAUAAUGGAAGUGCUUCACGAGAAUACCAAAAUUCGAAAUCUGGCAUCCAUUAUAACCACAAACCGCCGCGGCUAAAAUGUAUGCCAAAACUCGGUAUCCUUUGUAGCCACCGCCCUGGCUAUAAGUAUGCCCGAACACGGUGUCCUUUAUAGCCGGACACGGCCGAAGCUAUAGCGAAUACCGAAAUCCAGUAUCUUUCACAGCCACAAACCGCCGUAGCUAUAAGGUAUGCCGAAAUCUGGAAUCCUUAAUAUAGCCACAAACCGCCGUGGGUGUAAGGUAUGGCGAAAUCCUGUAUCUUCCACUGUAUAGCCACAAACCGCUGUGGCACUAAAGUAUGGUAAAAUACCCACCAAAAAUGCUGUGCUG